GUCAGGGUGGCUGAGUGGUAUAAGGCACCAGAGUCAAGGCCCUGCUUUCCCUGCUGUGGGAAUUCUGGUUUCCAAAUGGAGGUGUGGGCUCAAAUCCUACUUUUGACA
Molecule: transfer RNA, 108 nt
Filed under: Corvus brachyrhynchos (American crow)
Lineage: Eukaryota; Metazoa; Chordata; Aves; Passeriformes; Corvidae
Rfam family: tRNA
About the family: Transfer RNA (tRNA) molecules are approximately 80 nucleotides in length.
Source: Rfam by way of RNAcentral